ACAUGACAACGGAUGAUGUUCUAUUGAUAUCAUAGGUACAUCAUGUUUAGUAAUUAAAGAUAAAUGCACAGAGCCUAAAUGCCCUGAUACAUUUUUAUGCUCCCGGUAGGGUGGCAUAUUGCAGUUGUACUGUCAGUCCGUUUGUCUGUCUGUCUGUGUGUGUGUGUCCGUCCGAAAACUUUAAUAUGGGCCAUAACUUUUGCAAUAUUAAAGAUAUCAACUUGAUAUUUGGCAUGCAUGUGUAUCUCAUGAAGCUGCACAUUUUGAGUGGUGAAAGGUGAAGGUCAUCCUUCAAGGUCAAAAGUUAAAAAAUACAAUCCAAGGGAAGUAAUAAGCUUUAAAAGGGAGAUAAUUUCUAAACCUGCCAAAUGAUAUAUUAAAAUUUUAUUUCAAAGCAGCACAUUAAGGUCUCAUUGGCCAACGUGCAACAAACUCUUUUAAAAAUUAAAGUAUUUGGCGAAUACCCGGGAAACCGGGGUAAAUUUGACCUACUUUGACUCUAAAAUUAAUCUUUUUCUCCUGAGAGGUCACAGGGGCAGGUCGGGCUACCGUAACCUCGUGAAGAGGCCAGUAGGACCUGUAAAUAAACUCUGAAACACACACACGGGCAUUGUGUUUCGGACAAACACCAUUCUUGUCUAAUGAUGCCAUAGCUAGUGAGGUAACUUCAAGGUUUUAAAGCGAAGUAUUAAAAUUAUUAAACGGCAUUAUUACACUCCCGCAAAGUCAUCAAUAAUGUAAAAGCCAUUAUUUGAAACUGGAAUAAACAAUGUAGUGCAACUGUUUCAUUGCCCAAUCAAUGCUGUCAUAAAAGAUGUCAGGUGAUAAGGUCCUAUUUCCAGUUGCAUAAUCUGCUCUGCAAUGACCAGUCAUUUUGAAUGUAACUUAAGUCAUUAUAACUGCACCCUAUUGUCAAUUUAAAGGUUUCACAAUGUAGCUGUAGCAGAGCAUUUACACUGCUUUAUAUACUAGUAUUAAUCUUGUACAACAAGUUGGUGUAUCACUAAAUAAAUUUGGUCUUCUGCUUAAGGAUAUAACAUGCACAAUAUAAUUACCAUUUUUAUAUCGAUACACAGAAGACCUCUAACCACUUAUUUGAUGAUACACCAAAAUGAACAGCAUCUAAUUACAUGUAUACUUCUUUAUUAGGGUAGCUUUGCUUGAAACUUAAUUAUCAUAGAUACACUAUAAGUGCUAAAAUUCCUAGUGGGAAAACAAAGUUUAACCCUUCAUGGAUGGAAAAGUUGGACAACAGUGGAAAAACACUGGGAUCAUGGUGCAAGAGAGAUACCGGCAAUGAGUUUGCAAGAUAUUGUACUGUCUGAAUGAAGUCCAUCUUGUAGUAAUUCUGGUGCUAAUCAACUUAUAAGUCAUGCAGAUGGAUAAAAACACAAGGAAAUCAUGAAAUACAUGCAUGAUAAUUCACAAAAGCGUUUGUUUGGAAGUGCCCAAAAGCCAAGCAGCUCUCAGGGUUGUGGGGAUAAAUCUAUCUGUAUGCAAGUACAUCCAUCACACAAGGAACAGGUACAAAAGGCUGAAAUCUUCUGGGCCCUUAAGGUAGCUUCAAGUGGGUAUCCAUACAAAACAUGUGAUGGCACUCCUGCUCUGUUUCAAGCUAUGUUUCCUGGACCUGUGUCUAAAAAAUAAGUAUUACGUAUUCCUACUUUUGAGGGAAAAGUUCCUACUUUUUCCUACUUUUUUCCUACUUUUCUUGCAAAAGUAGUUCCUAUUUUUUCCUACUUUUUGAAAAAAGGUCACUUGACAGCCUGCGUAUGCAAAAGGGAAGUAACUGAAAAAAUCAAGUUAUCUCAAUCGGACUGGCUCGGUCUUUUACAUAGGCCGCCAUUGUGAGAAAGUUUUCUACUGGUUAUGAAACCUUGGACGACACUGUUCCAGCAUCGUCAAAAAUUCGAAUCUUAGGACUCAAUGAUGAUAAAGUGAAAGCCAUAGUGACGUACAUGACAUUAGAAAUAAAUGUUUAACUCUGGCAUGCAUUUCUUGGUGUUUCUGUGCGAGAAAGAAAAGUAAACAUUUCUUGGUGUUUCUGUGCGAGAAAGAAAAAAUGUGCUACCUGAGGAAAUGAUGGCAGAGUUGAAACAGAUCAAUUAUGAGUCACCAGUGACAAAAAUAAAUGUGGCAGUGAACAAAAUACCCAACUUCAAGGCAGAUCCUAACUCCUCCAGUAAUGUUGUCAUGCCCCACCAUCGCUGUACCAUCCAUCUGAACUGUGAGGAUUCAAAGAAUAUCGGGGAGGCGUACCUAAAGGCACAAAUCGACGCUUACUCAAAACGUCCAAUGAUUGAGUUGAUCAUCCCGUCCAGCCUUGACCCAACCUUGGCCCCGCCAGGUCACCACGUGAUGCUGCUGUUUACUCAGUACACACCCUACACACUGGCCGAUUAAAGAACUUGGUCUGAAGAGGAGAGAAAUACAUACGCUGACAUUGUGUUUGACUGUAUAGAAGACUUCGCUUCAGGGUUCAAGGACAGUGUUGUAGGUCGAGAUAUCCUGAGCCCUCCUGACCUUGAAAGGGUGUUUAGCCUCACUGGAGGGAAUAGGGCUUUACAAAGACAUGGAAGAGAUGCAAGAGGAACAUUUUCCAUGGGGCCAUGUCCCUGGACCAACUGUACAUGAGUCGCCCGAUGCCAGCCAUGUGUAACUACAGGUCACCUGUGAGGGGACUAUAUCUGUGUGGUAGUGGAGCUCAUCCAGGGGGCGGAGUCAUGGGGUCACCAGGGCGACUGGCAGCCAUGAUGGUUAUCAAGGACAGGAAAUAAGAGGGCCAAAAAUUGGGCCUUGAGCAUCUAUGAUGAUGCAGCCGAAAUGAAAAGCCGUUUUGCUAAGGGUAGACCAAAACUAUAUUGAUAUUGUAGUGUCUGCUUGUUGAACUAGAAUUAUUGUGUGUUGGACCAACGAUACAGUGAUGGCUGUAAUAGCUAAUUUUAUGUAUGUGGAUAUGAUAAAAAUUGUGCUCAAGGAUUUACCUUUUCCACUGCAGUAUAUAGAGACUAACAGGUUAUUGUCCCAUCGUUUUGUACAGGGACCUAUACAAACAUAUAUAUGUUUGUAUAGGUCCCUGUUUUGUAAUAUAUCAGGCAAGGCUUAGAAUAAUAUAAUUAUUUUAUUCAUGCCGAGCCUGAUAUAUUACAUAACAAUGGGACAGUAACCUGUUUUUCUGUUUAUCAUACCACCUUUCCCUAAAAAUCUGCAAAACAAUCCAUUUAGUAUAUUUAAAAUGUACGGAUCCCCGCUGAUUUUGCUGAUCCGGCUUUUACACGUUUAAAUAUAGGAGGUUUUGGCGUGACGUCACAAGAGGGUUUUUCCGUUACUAAAAAUAGAUUGGCCGUCACACCUCGAUGCGGCCAUUUACAUUGUAUUAGAGUUAAGGUCGUCGGAAGACUAAAUACUGACAAUUUCACAAAACAAAACUACAAAUACCGGUAUUCUUUCUUAAAGGCGGACAGUCGCUCCUACGCUGUUUUGACAGGGCGGACAGUCGCUCCUACAUUAUUUUGCCAACCCGGACAAUCGCUCCUACAUUAAUAUGUCAACCCGGACAGUCGCUCCUACAUUAUUUUGACUCCACAGCACAAAGUUUACGCCGAUCAAAGGCUAACACCUAUAAUUAACCGACAAUUAAAAUUACCGACUUGUUAAAAGUAAGCCGAUUCAACAUGAGCCGAUCAAUGUGAUUUUAAUAAAUUAAUUUACUUAUUAAGAAACUAUGUUACAGUUUGUCGAUUUUUUAAAUGUAAUUUAGCAAACUGUGAAAACAAUAUGUACCGGUAUAUAUUGUAAUGCCCUACACCUUCAAAUUCACUUCCAUCAUUGAACUUUUAACCAACAAACGCGGUCAGUCUGUGCUAUGCUUAGACGGUCAUUCGUAUUCCAAGAAGCACACGUCAAAGUCAACAAUACGAUGGGUAUGCAGUAAAAGUCGUUCCGAUUCCUGCAAGGGAUCGCUCAUAACAGAUCUAAGUGUAAGUCGACAUAUAAAAAAAUAGUUGUAUUGUUAUUUUGCACAUUCAUGCUCACGAAACAUUUAUUGUGUAAAUAACAAGGUGCCUAAACCACGUGACUUUUUCGGCUAUGUGUGGGACAAUCGGAUGUAAACAAAACGUCGCUUCAGGUAACGUUUUUGACAAUUUCUUCAUUCUUUCAAAACCAUUUUCAAAAAAACAUAGACGAGUGCCCAGUCAUUGUAAAAAGACACAACUUUGUUAAGUUUGCGCAAAAUUAAUUAAGUAUUUUUUCCAAAAAGUGCAACCGCGUGUUUGAAAACACAUGAAGUGAAAUGCUAUGUGAGGUAUAUUUUUUGUUCAAUCAACAAAAACAUUGAUUAUAAUAUUGUCGAGGGUUUAAAAAAUAGGGCGGACAUUGUUAUUCUUCAUAGAUAAGCUACUUACAUUGUAUGUUUGCGCAAAUACAUCUAAUUCGGAGUGUGUGUAUAUAAAUGUUUAUCAGCUAUGUGUGGGACACAUUUUUUUAAAUGCUAUGUGUGGUAUACAAGAAUUUGCCCGUCAGUUCUGCAUUUAAUCUGAACACAGUUUUGUAAGAAUCUAGAGCAUCAACUUUAGUCUGUCCUGAAAAUAUAUCAAAUUAACCAAAUGUUACAUUAUUGAAUACUGAAGUAAUCGUGUAAUGAUUAAACAAUUUAUGUUUAACUGAACAUAAUUCUUAUAAACGCAUACAUGUUAGGUUGAAAUAUAAUAUUUCUUUGUUUUACUUAUUGUCUUUAAAUAAAUAUAAUGAUUGAUAUUUCUGCCUGAUUAUUGAAUUUGGUCCAUUUUUUAAUGAAUGACACAGAAAAUAAGAGCACAUGCUUUAAAAUGGGUUUUACUUCUAUUGUUUUUCAGAAUUGAAAAGGAUUAGUCGAAAGAUCUGUAACGCUUUUAAGGUUCGAAGCUGUGUAAGAACUACAUGAACACCAUCAAACCACACGGAAGGUGAUAUGUGGCAAGUUAAUUAUCAAAACCACAGUGACAGAGACAGGGACCCCGCUUCAUUCUGUGAUGUUUAUGGAAAGCUAUUUCAACUAACUAUGCAAACAUACAAUUUAACAUGUAUUUUUGCAUAAGCAAAACAAAGCGUGUGUAUUGAUAUGUGUGUAUAUUUAUGGGUUUUGUAUCUAUGUUAUUACUAAAAUUGAUUAGAUGAAUAGAAAAUCUGAUUAUGUGUGUUAAUAAAACAGGUGUUUCAUAACAAAUUACAAUUUAAAUCCAAU
Molecule: long non-coding RNA, 5224 nt
Organism: Dreissena polymorpha
Lineage: Eukaryota; Metazoa; Mollusca; Bivalvia; Myida; Dreissenidae
Exons: 9
Source: RefSeq, a predicted model, not a curated record